RNAcentral lists this ribosomal RNA (564 nucleotides) under uncultured bacterium. Its description in RNAcentral is "bacterial SSU rRNA". It matches the Rfam family "Bacterial small subunit ribosomal RNA", at positions 338 to 916 of the family's 1533-position model. The record is from RNAcentral.
CCUACGGGAGGCAGCAGUGGGGAAUCUUGCGCAAUGGGCGAAAGCCUGACGCAGCAACGCCGCGUGCGGGAUGAAGGCCUUCGGGUUGUAAACCGCUUUCAGCAGGGAAGAAAUUGACGGUACCUGCAGAAGAAGCCCCGGCCAACUACGUGCCAGCAGCCGCGGUAACACGUAGGGGGCGAGCGUUGUCCGGAUUUAUUGGGCGUAAAGAGCUCGUAGGCGGUUCACUAAGUCGGGUGUGAAACCUCCAGGCUCAACCUGGAGACGCCACCUGAUACUGGUGUGACUAGAGUCCGGCAGGGGAGUGUGGAACUCCUGGUGUAGCGGUGAAAUGCGCAGAUAUCAGGAAGAACACCAGCGGCGAAGGCGGCACUCUGGGCCGGUACUGACGCUGAGGAGCGAAAGCGUGGGUAGCAAACAGGAUUAGAUACCCUGGUAGUCCACGCCGUAAACGUUGGGCACUAGGUGUGGGUCUCAACCAACGAGAUCCGUGCCGCAGCUAACGCAUUAAGUGCCCCGCCUGGGGAGUACGGCCGCAAGGCUAAAACUCAAAUGAAUUGACGG